AAACGUUUCCCAAGGAAAAGUGACGUUGAUAAAGAAACCAAAAUGGUUACAAUGACUGUUAAGGAAAAAGAGAAAGGAAAAAUUGGUAACCUCGUUAAUGAUUUUCAACAAGAGAUGGACAAAUGUUCCGAGCACCUGUUUAACAGUCAAAAUCAGUACGAAUCUAUCAGGAAACUGAAAAUGAAACUAACCAAAAGAGAUCUCAUUUGUCACAUCGAUUUUUCUGAAAACUAUUCAUGUAAAUACAAUGAAGAAAUCCAAAGCAUUUACUUCGGGGCAUCACAGCGUCAGGUUUCCCUUCACACCGGGGUCCUUUACACAGAAAAUGCAAUCCAAAGCUUUUGUUCUUUGUCGGAUAACCUUAAGCACGGACCUGUCGGGAUAUGAGCACACCUUAAGCCCGUUUUGAAAUUUGCAAAAGACAAAUAUCCUGAAAUCCAGAACUUGUACUUUGUAAGUGACGGCCAAACCACCCAGUACAUGUGCAAGGAUAACUUUUAUCUGCUCAGCACACUUCCAUUUGAGGAAGGCUUCAAAUGCGUUAACUGGUCGUUCAUGGAAGCUGGCCACGGAAAAGGUGCCCCUGAUGAGAUUGGGGCAGUAAUCAAAAGAGCUGCUGAUGGGGUCGUGCUGCAUGGCGAGGACAUUGUAAACGCAGUAUCUAUGUAUGACACACUUACUAAGAAGAGCAUUGCUCCGCACCUGUUUCUUAUAACGGAUGGCCAGUUUGAGGAACAAAAAAAACUGCACCUAAAGAUUUACAGGCGGUAAAUGGCACCAUGAAAAUUCACCAGAUAUUUAAUAGAGAGCCAGGUCAGUUCAAGUUUAGAGAUGUCAGCUGUUUCUGUAGUUUUUCCGGUGAUUGUGACUGUUUUACUCCAAAACAUCACAUGUUUCCUAUCAAUGAACAGAGGGCGACAGGUGAUCCAUCUGAUACAGUUGCAUCGGCAGACAGCGGAGAGGUUUAGGACUCGCGAGGAUCUAUACACAGAUUUGAACAUUUCGACGAGACACUGAAGGGCACGUACUGUGUUGUAACUUAUGAUGGAAAACCAUUCCCUGGAAUAGUUCAGGACGUUGAUGAUAAUGAGGCUUAUGAUGGAAAACCAUACCCUGGAAUAGUUCAGGACGUUGAUGAUAAUGAGGCUUAUGAUGGAAAACCAUACCCUGGAAUAGUUCAGGACGUUGAUGAUAAUGAGGUAGAAGUCAGCGUUAUGCACUGCAUUGGUCCCAACCGAUUCUUCUGGCCGCGGAUGCAGGAUGUGUUGUGGUACCCAAGUGACCAGUAUAUAACCCAAAUUCCACCACCAUCCAAUAUUGGAAGUCUGCAUCAACAAAUUGAGCCAGCCAAAUGAGAACAAAUAAAAGACGCUCUGAACUUGUAAAACAUAUAAAGGAUAUUAAAUGAGUGUGCUCUGGACUUGUAAAACAUAUAGAGGAUAUUGAAUGAGUGCAAGUUUCAUAGACAAUUAAUUGAGUGAGUUUAAUAAAAUCAUAUUAUGCGAGCCUCUGGCUAGCAAAAUAUUAUUUUAUUAAACGAGUUCAAUAAAUUUAGUAUAAAACUUAUUUAAAACGAAUUUAAUGUUCUAAAACAUUUGUUCAUGAUUAUAAAAUACAUUUAUAAGUUCUUAUUUGUUUGUUAAAAAUAGUUGUUUGUUCUUUUGUUUGAGACUUAAAAUAGCGGAAUACAGAAUGCACAUUUUAUUUUAAAUUGUUUUAAACAAACAUAGUAAACAUUUAUGAUGUAAAACUAUUGACCGACAAUAUAAUAUCGGACAUAGAAGAUAUUACAUGAUUGUCUUUUGAUAUUGAAUUUAUUAAACGAGUUGGAUACAAUGAUAAAUUAAGAGGCUCUACCGAGCAUUUUAUCGUUUUAUUGGAUGAGUUUAUUAAAUUCAAUGUCAUAGAAUAAGAUCUGUUUUAUCAAUAAAAAGAUAGAAGCUAGCGUCUAUUAAUUAGAUUUUCAUACAUCUUUGCAGUGGAGUUCUUGGAUAAUAUUCGAUUGGGCUUCAUUAACGUAUUUUAACUCCUUUAAAGGCAUGCUUCAUGCAUGUUCACUACCGUAACAACCGGUCACUACCGUAACAUUAACUUCACUACCGUAAGAGCAUCAUUUUCCCUUAAUAGUGACAAAUGAUGCAUACAACACCUCGAAAAGUAAUUGACUUCAAUAAACAAAGUCAUAUGUAAGUAUAAGCCAAAGUAUGACAUGUGCUUUGAAAUAUAUGGAAUUUUUAAGAAAAUUAUAAAGACAGACUUUUUCACCAAUUUUACAUUGCUGUCAUUAAAUGGUAAGAAUUUCCAUUUUUAAUAAUAAUCUGGUUGAAUAUAAGGUAAAGAUAAAAACUACUUAAGACGUUUAUUCAACUGAAUCAAACAUCAAUAUGAAAAAAAUUAUUAUUGCAAA
Long non-coding RNA from Dreissena polymorpha, 2407 nucleotides. RefSeq lists it as uncharacterized. The transcript is spliced from 4 exons. Lineage: Eukaryota; Metazoa; Mollusca; Bivalvia; Myida; Dreissenidae. The record is from RefSeq and is a predicted model, not a curated record.